GUGUGGAGACUUCCAGUGGUGAUAUGUCACAUACGAGGCAGUGUUUGUGCAAAUGUUAAUGGAGUGAAUAUAGUGUGCAUGCCAUUAUCAGCUAAAUGUGUUUGACUUGUCAUUCAUUCACUUCUACUCCCUCUACCUCAAUGAAAGUAACAAAAGGCGGGGUGCAACAGCUGGGUGUAAAGCAGUCAAAGGAAUAUGGAAGAUCAGGACCUGAGCCACUAAUUAUCUUUUGAGCUCCUCCACCUGUAUUGGUCUUCAGGCCUGGGCCUUGGUCUUAAAUUCACCCCUCACAUUUUCAAUGAGAUUCGAGUCAGGGCUUUGUGCAGGCCAUUCAGUAAUGGUCAUUUAAGUCUU
Molecule: long non-coding RNA, 354 nt
Organism: Pundamilia nyererei
Lineage: Eukaryota; Metazoa; Chordata; Actinopteri; Cichliformes; Cichlidae
Exons: 3
Source: RefSeq, a predicted model, not a curated record